RNAcentral lists this non-coding RNA (325 nucleotides) under Pan troglodytes (chimpanzee). Lineage: Eukaryota; Metazoa; Chordata; Mammalia; Primates; Hominidae. The record is from RNAcentral.
UCUGUCCCUGAAAGGCCAGAACAAACUGCCUCCUAGGGUAACACUAAGUGCUACUGUCAUUUGAGACAGACGUGUGCACAGACAGCCCUAGCCCACAGGAUUGUAGGUCCUCAGCGGAUGAAUGAACUGGCUGUUUGCUGGGUGCCGGGAAGAUGCUUUGGAGCCACUCAUAGAUGGACCUGCAUGGGGACUUGCUUUUCCAGGAGAGAUGAUUGAUUCACCAUGCUGACAUGACCACUCUCCCACGUGGUCUUCCUAGUGAUCAGAUGGGGUAUCUGAAGGUUCAGAAACAGAUCAAAGAAAAUGCUGUGCACAUGGAGUGAAU